AGAGUUUGAUCAUGGCUCAGAUUGAACGCUGGCGGCAUGCCUUACACAUGCAAGUCGAACGGCAGCACGGGGGCAACCCUGGUGGCGAGUGGCGAACGGGUGAGUAACAUAUCGGAACGUGCCCUGGAGUGGGGGAUAACUAGUCGAAAGACUAGCUAAUACCGCAUACGAUCUACGGAUGAAAGUGGGGGAUCGCAAGACCUCAUGCUCGUGGAGCGGCCGAUAUCUGAUUAGCUAGUUGGUGGGGUAAAGGCCUACCAAGGCAUCGAUCAGUAGCUGGUCUGAGAGGACGACCAGCCACACUGGGACUGAGACACGGCCCAGACUCCUACGGGAGGCAGCAGUGGGGAAUUUUGGACAAUGGGGGCAACCCUGAUCCAGCAAUGCCGCGUGAGUGAAGAAGGCCUUCGGGUUGUAAAGCUCUUUUGUCAGGGAAGAAACGGCGGGGGCUAAUAUCUCCUGCUAAUGACGGUACCUGAAGAAUAAGCACCGGCUAACUACGUGCCAGCCGCCGCGGUAAUAC
RNAcentral lists this ribosomal RNA (523 nucleotides) under uncultured Herbaspirillum sp. RNAcentral's name for it is "bacterial SSU rRNA". It matches the Rfam family "Bacterial small subunit ribosomal RNA", at positions 8 to 526 of the family's 1533-position model. Lineage: Bacteria; Pseudomonadati; Pseudomonadota; Betaproteobacteria; Burkholderiales; Oxalobacteraceae. The record is from RNAcentral.